Non-coding RNA from Ciona intestinalis (vase tunicate), 328 nucleotides. The record is from RefSeq and is a predicted model, not a curated record. NCBI's taxonomy places the organism in Eukaryota, Metazoa, Chordata, Ascidiacea, Phlebobranchia, Cionidae.
AAGUGGGAAAUAUGAUGGUCUCCAUGUUGCUUGGUGUGGACGUCGAUGGAAGAUUAAAUGAAGUUCGACCGUUUUCCUGUUGUACAGGGACUUGAACCCAACACCAUGCUAUCAAUUGCUUACCUUGUAAAACAACCAACAGCCUUCCAUAUCAAUACAAACAUAAUCAAGGUUGGAAUCCCCUUCGUAUCCACCAACAUAAAAUAAACUUCCGUUUUCAAUCUGUGGAUAUAAUGUAGUGUCCCAUGGCAUGCCUCGUUGUAGCACCUCACCCAUAUAAACUUUGAGCAUUACCCACGUACCCACCUUGAGUUGCAAGCGAAGAACU